This 1138-nucleotide non-coding RNA is filed under the name Caenorhabditis japonica. RNAcentral's name for it is "Eukaryotic small subunit ribosomal RNA". It matches the Rfam family "Eukaryotic small subunit ribosomal RNA", at positions 657 to 1831 of the family's 1831-position model. The record is from Rfam by way of RNAcentral. Lineage: Eukaryota; Metazoa; Nematoda; Chromadorea; Rhabditida; Rhabditidae.
GGUUACGUGCCGCAGUUCGCAAUUUGCGUUAACUGUGGUCGUGACUUCUAAUUUGCUGGUUUGAGGUUGGGUUCGCCCUUCAACUGCCAGCAGGUUUACCUUGAAUAAAUCAGAGUGCUCAAUACAGGCGCUUGCUUGAAUAGCUCAUCAUGGAAUAAUGAAACAGGACUUCGGUUCUUUUUGUUGGUUCUAGAAUUGAUCUAAUGGUUAAGAGGGACAAACCGGGGGCAUUCGUAUCAUUACGCGAGAGGUGAAAUUCGUGGACCGUAGUGAGACGCCCAAUAGCGAAAGCAUUUGCCAAGAAUGUCUUCAUUAAUCAAGAACGAAAGUCAGAGGUUCGAAGGCGAUUAGAUACCGCCCUAGUUCUGACCGUAAACGAUGCCAUCUCGCGAUUCGGAGGGUUCAUGCCCUACCGAGGAGCUACCCGGAAACGAAAGUCUUUCGGUUCCGGGGGUAGUAUGGUUGCAAAGCUGAAACUUAAAGAAAUUGACGGAAGGGCACCACAAGGCGUGGAGCUUGCGGCUUAAUUUGACUCAACACGGGAAAACUCACCCGGUCCGGACACUAUUAGGACUGACAGAUUGAAAGCUCUUUCUCGAUUUGGUGGUUGGUGGUGCAUGGCCGAUCUUAGUUGGUGGAGUGAUUUGUCUGGUUUAUUCCGAUAACGAGCGAGACUCUAGCCUGCUAAAUAGUCGACGAAUCUUCGGGUUCGUAUAACUUCUUAGAGGGAUAAGCGGUGUUUAGCCGCACGAGAUUGAGCGAUAACAGGUCUGUGAUGCCCUUAGAUGUCCGGGGCUGCACGCGUGCUACACUGGUGGAGUCAGCGGGUUUUUCCUAUGCCGAAAGGUAUCGGUAAACCGUUGAACUUCUUCCAUGUCCGGGAUAGGGUAUUGUAAUUAUUACCCUUAAACGAGGAAUGCCUAGUAAGUGUGAGUCAUCAGCUCACGUUGAUUACGUCCCUGCCCUUUGUACACACCGCCCGUCGCUAUCCGGGACUGAACUGAUUCGAGAAGAGUGGGGACUGUGGCUGCGAGGUUUUACCACUUCGCAGUUGCGGAAACCAUUUUUAUCGCAUUGGUUUGAACCGGGUAAAAGUCGUAACAAGGUAGCUGUAGGUGAACCUGCAGCUGGAUCAUCG